UGUUGGUGUCACAACUUUGGCCGCAACUGAGUUUGAACACCACCGGAAGGAACUUCCUGUGGAGGCAACGGAAGACUAAGACAUGGCUGCUUCAGCCCCCGGGGCCUAUGUAAGGUUUGGCUGUAUGGUUUCGCUUAGGGUCCAGCUGGCAGAUGUCUGUGGUUUUCCCUACAUCUCUCAGCAGCCUGCAAACAGCAGAAGCCAGUACGUCAGAGGCUGACAGACAUGAAUGUUGGGUAAAUUCAAGUUUGGAACCGGGCGGAGGGAAGUGGGCGGAAGUCAGGGUAUUGAUGGCAUCUGGGGAUGCUUGUCUGAGCUAUCAGUUGUUCAACAGAAAGUCAUUAAACAUGUACUGUGAGCUGUGUACCAGGCACUGGCUCACUGGCACCUGGGAGUGUAUCAGGAGCAAAUAUAACACAAAGUGCUACCCCUGGGGAUGGCUGGCAAGGGGAAACAGACUUCAUAACAAGCUCCAUAGGCUUGUGUGUAGGAAAAGCCCCAAACUGCACGUAUUUAUUUUAAACCCUUUCCCUCCCUUAACUAUUUCUGAGUUAUUUGGAUUAUUUCUGAUAAUGUGUAUAAAAACAUGUAUAAAAUAUGUAUAAAAGGUGUUGGCAGUCCUUUUCCUGCUUUGAUCUCUGAGCAAGCGCUGAGUGGGCACAGCAAAAAGUAAGAGAGAAAUGCCCAAUGAACUAGUUACAAAAUAGUGAUUGCUUGGCACAUGUGCCAAAAGCUGCCUUCUUUCGAGGGCUGAGGGUGUGUCUGAGUGGCGGGGCGCUUACCUAGUGCACACAAAGCCCCUGGAUAUGUUCUUGUAACUGGUACCCAGCAAAUUAAUAGCAUAAGCAAAUGUAGAAUUGUGCCGAAUAUGGUGAUUGCAACUUUAUCGGAUGAUAACACCCAUCCACAUGAAAUGCAUUGAGUGGGGGAGGGGUGGAGUCAGAGAGGGUAAACAUCAGAAAACUCACUACUGCUGACUGCCUCUUUUCUUUAUUUGUAUCUAACUUGUUUACCUUUGAAAUGGCUGGUGACUGCUGGGCUCCCUGGUCCACCACAGUGAUUCUAGCUCAGGCACCCUGGUGCAUGCUAGUGAUUCUAGGGUGGGCACCCUGGUGCGUGCCAGCGAUUCCAGCUCGGGAGGCUGAGACAGAAAGAUUUCAAGUUCUAGGCUAGUUGGUCUAAGAAGACAACAAACAAAAUUUUAAAAAGCAAAUAAAAGUCAAAGGACUAUUUACUCAGUUCACCCCCCCCAGUGCUGGCUUAAGUACAGUCCUGAUAGAAAGGGCGGGAAUACAGUGGGCAAAAAAGGCAAAAGGUUAUGGACUACCUGGGAUAAAGUAGGAAGGCUUGAAAAUACACCCCCACGGAGUAAAUACCAAAAAAAGAGAAGGAAAGUUUUUUAAACAAAUAUAUUUUGCUUAUUAGCUCAGCAGUUUCAAAAAAGUUUGGCAAGGUAGGACUAAAAAUUUAGCAAACAAAAGAACAACUCCGAGAUAGGGGCUGGAGAGAUGGCUCAGCAACUGAGAGCACUGGCUGCUCGUUCAAAGGACUAAGUUCGUGUUCAGCAUUCACAUCCCUCCUACGUCAAGUACAGAACCCGAGUCGGAAUGUUGCUGAUAGGGAGACGCUGACUGCUCCCUUUCAAGGAUAUUUCAUUUGCUUGCCAAAGAAUCUUUUUUUAAAAAGGUAGGCUGGUGAACAGGGUCCUGGCAUGUGUCUGUGAGCCCCAAAAUGGGCCAGGGAAGCAUUAAACCGAAUUAGAUUGUCCCUAGAUGACAUGUAAGAACACUAGCAUAAAAAGUAUAAAAAGCUUUUACGUCUGUCUCAAUGAUUUCAUCUCUGCCAGUUCAGAUGAGCGUCCUCUGCCUUGGUGCUGAUAAACCCCGACAUGUGAAGUGAAGCAAGCCAUUUCCGUGGCGUUCAGGAAUGGAAACGGAGGUGUCAGAGGUGCAUGGAAAGCAGAAAUGGAGAAAUGCUGUCCACCCUAAGAGCUGCUGUUUAAAAAUAUAUCUGUUAUAUUUAUCCGUGAUAUCUGCCAAGAGGGCUGUGCACUAAUACAGUGGGCCUUGUGAAGUAUUGGUCCUGUCGAGCCGUUUGCUCUGAUGCUGCAAAUGGCUCCAAGUGCAGAGGCUGUGUCUAAGACUAGCUUUCUAAACUGCACUUUCAAGGUAAUCACAAAAGUCCCUGUUGGAAGGAACCUUAAAGGCCUUCGGUCCCAAACCCGCUGGUCAGUGGAGGUGAUACCAUGACCCAGAGUGAGGAGGUAACCUGCUAAAGUCAAACUGGCGAUUUAUGUCAGGGCCCAGAAGAGAUCCGAGACCUCUGAACUGCGGCUAGAGGCCUUUCUCCUGCCCUGCAAGGACCCGCUUAGUGAACUGCCCUGCUGUCUGAAAGCUCGCCUGCAUGGGUCACCCUCUCAUGGUGCUGGGGACAGGUCCAUCCUGAGAAGUACAGCUCUCAUCCUACGGGGAGGAGCCUGGACUUACAGGGUCACACAAACAGGCACGUUCUGAGUUUUUGCGCCUUUCUCUUUCCUUAAAAGAAUAAGAAAUUUCCUUGUCUUUUUUUUUUUUUUAAAUAACGAGCCUGUUAUUUCUUUUGUGUUUUCUAAGAAACUAAAUCAUUUUAAGAAGGACUUCAGGGGCCGGGUUAUGAACAGGCCUCAUCCUCAUACAAGCAAGGCAAGCACUCUGCCUGCUGAACUACAUACAGCUCUACUGAUAAUUCUCUAUAUUUUAACGCGCCAAGACGUGAUAAUUUGUUUUUUAUUGCUUAGAAGGGACCUUGGCUGGCCUGGAGGCUUGCUACCUAGAUCAGACUGAGCUCAGACUGGCAGGAUGAUUCGCCUGCCUCUGCCAUGUGCUGCAACUAGAGGCUUGUGCCGCUAUGCCUGACUGAGACGUGAUUCUUUUUCCUCCAGUGCUGGUUUAGAUUUAAACACGUGCUGCUUUCUUUGCUCUCUUCUGACCUCCGCUGGCACUAGAUAAGCACGUGGGACAUAUAAAUACAGACAGGCAAAACAUCAAUACACAUAAAGAAAAACUAAAUAGAGAAUAUGAGGGACUAUACUGUUAGAUGGACUCUGCCUUCGCCAAGUCCAGAGACGGAAGUUUAGUCAGCCUCGGAGACGGGGCCGUGACCCUGGGGCUCCUGGGAAGCCAGUGAAGCAGCAAGGAAGUGUUGUCCGAGUUGUCCUGGAGAGUCCCCGGCCUGGAGGCCUGGGGAGCAAUUCUAGUUCCCUAAGGCUCCCUUCGGAAGGCAUUUGCUGGGUGCUCUAAGGCUCUGAUGCUUUGCUCUCUUCUCUGGGAUUCUGGGUGCCGUUAGCAGAAGCAGCUUCUUCCUUUAAAGGACGGAGCGGUUGAUUUAUACUUUUAACGGCUGGACAAGUUCGCGGCUGUAGAAGAGUUUUUAUCGUCCGUGGCUGUGAAACCCAGAAGAGGGCUUGUUGGUCCCGUGGUAGCUCCAUAAAGCCAAGGAUGAUGCCAGAGUGGCAGGAGAGGACAAAGGUCAUCCAGUGGCCAAGCAAUGCAGGUUCCUGAUCUGUUUGAGUUCCUCCUGUUCUGCCUUUCUCCCAUGAUGAACUGUGAUGUGGAAGAGUAAGCCAAAUAAACCUUCCUCUAUAAUUGCUGACCCAAGAGCAAUGCAUAGAUAUUUGCAGGUGUAUUAUAAUAAUCAUUUCCUGAAGAUAGCAAAAACAGAGAUGGGAAGCAGUCUUAUAAAAUGAGUAUACACCAUAAAGUUGAACACAAUGUAUGGAUAUUGCUUGACAAACGAUGAUGUUUGCAGUACUGUUUGCUGUCUGGGUCAGUUGGGGUCAGGGACUUAAUCCCUUGUAAACUCUGCUAAAGAGUUCUGUAAAGCAGCCCAUCCACUCCCCAUGGAUGCUUUCUAUGGUGUUCAAUAAAAGAGAGAGUAAAGCCCUUUGUUAGGGGACAGGCGUGGGCGGACACAUUCACACAGACACUCUCAGACACAGGAACAGAUUCCCAAGCCAGCCUUCAGGCAGGCACGGAUUCAGACUCGUCCCACAGACAGACAUACAGGACAGAAGAACAAAGUAGAGUGAUCAAAGGAGCAAAGAGGAUGCUGUCGACCUGGAGGAGGUUGACAACGGAUAUGUCAGGAGAGCUGAGGAAGAAGGGUCAGUGUAACCUGGACAUGUUAAGAAGUAACUGCAUCCACCUUUGACGUGAUUGAUAAAAAGCCGUUCUGUUUUGAAAACAGCUGGUAGGUGAGGUAAGGCUGAUGGGACCAUCUAGGCUUAGUGCGGCCUCAGACAAAGCUCUUUUCACUGCCCGUGUCUCAUGGCUUGCGAUUUCCAUCAUGGGCUAUCCUAUGAGAAAAUUAUUUCCCCCCAGAUAGUUAAGAUAGACCUGUGACUGAAGGAGCUCAUAGUAUCUCAGAUUCCCCAGACAGCUAGCCCCAGGUUGUGUCUCUUCCACGUGACCUUACCCCACAGCCCUAACCACUCAAGUCCUUGAGUUCCUCCUCCAAUUCCCUCCCAUCUGUUCUUUUUCCCAACUCCCAUAUCAUUGUUUACAUUUGGGCAGUGUGGUCCCCAGGACCAUUUCCUUGACUCCGGUCUCCCCACACCGUGAUCUCCACCACCUGCUGUAUCGACUGAACACUGCUAAUUCUGUAUCCAAAAAUCAUUACUAGUUUGCUUGCUCCUUUGAAAUCUUGUCUUCGGGGCUCCUUGUGAACUAAUUCCAGCUGCCCGUUUAAGUUUUGUGUGGUGGGGAUUUAACCAGGAUGCAGACUAAACAGCUGUGAGGAAAUGACCUCAAUUCUGGUAACAUAAAAAGGAUGGAUGGUCAGCGUUCUCCCUGGGCCUCCAUAGUGUUGGGAUUGGGAUGUUGGGUGUGCAUCACUGUGCUUUGCUUCUUUCUCACUUCUUGAUCUGAGGCCUCCAUUGUUUCCUACCCCUCAAACAUCAGAGAAACUUUUUUUUUUUCCUGAGAUGCUUAGAUCUGAGGAAUUAGGCCACGGUCCUACCCACAUCCUUUUCUGUCCGCCCCCCAGCCUCUGGAUUCCGGCUGAACGGCAUGGUCAACUCUCCUGGGUCUCAAAAUUGCAGAUGGAAGAUCGUGGGACUUCUUGGCAUCCACAGUCACAUGAGCCAUUUCCAAUAAAAGCAGCAGUGUGUGUGUGUGCAUGCACACGCAUGUAUGAGUGCCCUUGCACACAGUUGGUGCAAUUGGCUCUAUGUCUCUCAGAUCCAUGACCAUUAUCUACACAAACAAGUUGGUAUUCUAAGAAGUUAAUUGAUUUGUUAAUAAACUGAGA
Non-coding RNA from Myodes glareolus (Bank vole), 5286 nucleotides. NCBI's taxonomy places the organism in Eukaryota, Metazoa, Chordata, Mammalia, Rodentia, Cricetidae. The record is from RefSeq and is a predicted model, not a curated record.